CCUACGGGUGGCAGCAGUGGGGAAUAUUGCACAAUGGGCGAAAGCCUGAUGCAGCAACGCCGCGUGAAGGCAGAAGGGUUUCGGCUCGUAAACUUCUAUCAACAGGGACGAAAGAAAUGACGGUACCUGAAUAAGAAGCCCCGGCUAACUACGUGCCAGCAGCCGCGGUAAUACGUAGGGGGCAAGCGUUAUCCGGAUUUACUGGGUGUAAAGGGGGCGCAGACGGCAAUGCAAGCCAUGAGUGAAAGCCCGGGGCCCAACCCCGGGACUGCUCUUGGAACUGCAUGGCUGGAGUACAGGAGGGGCAGGCGGAAUUCCUAGUGUAGCGGUGAAAUGCGUAGAUAUUAGGAGGAACACCGGUGGCGAAGGCGGCCUGCUGGACUGUGACUGACGUUGAGGCCCGAAGGCGUGGGGAGCAAACAGGAUUAGAUACCCUAGUAGUC
This 443-nucleotide ribosomal RNA is filed under the name uncultured bacterium. Its description in RNAcentral is "partial 16S ribosomal RNA". It matches the Rfam family "Bacterial small subunit ribosomal RNA", at positions 338 to 795 of the family's 1533-position model. The record is from RNAcentral.